This 499-nucleotide ribosomal RNA is filed under the name uncultured bacterium. RNAcentral's name for it is "bacterial SSU rRNA". It matches the Rfam family "Bacterial small subunit ribosomal RNA", at positions 25 to 518 of the family's 1533-position model. The record is from RNAcentral.
CAGGAUGAACGCUAGCGGCAGGCUUAACACAUGCAAGUCGAGGGGCAGCGGGAUGUAGCAAUACAUUGCCGGCGACCGGCGGAUGGGUGCGUAACGCGUAUGCAACCUACCUUAUACAGGGAAUAACCUUCGAAAGGGAGACUAACACCCCAUGGUAUUGAUUUAAGGCAUCUUAGAUUAAUUAAAUAUUUAUAGGUAUAAGAUGGGCAUGCGUAUGAUUAGCUAGUUGGUAAGGUAACGGCUUACCAAGGCGACGAUCAUUAGGGGUUCUGAGAGGAAGGUCCCCCACACUGGUACUGAGACACGGACCAGACUCCUACGGGAGGCAGCAGUGAGGAAUAUUGGUCAAUGGGCGCAAGCCUGAACCAGCCAUGCCGCGUGCAGGAAAGACGGCCUUAUGGGUUGUAAACUGCUUUUACAUAAGACUAACCGUAUAUUUGCGAAUAUACCUGAAUGUAUUAUGAGAAUAAGGAUCGGCUAACUCCGUGCCAGCCGCAGC